AGAGUUUGAUCCUGGCUCAGGAUGAACGCUAGCGACAGGCUUAACACAUGCAAGUCGAGGGGCAGCAUAGAAGUAGCAAUACUUGGUGGCGACCGGCGCACGGGUGAGUAACGCGUAUGCAACCUACCUAUCAGAGGGGAAUAACCCGGCGAAAGUCGGACUAAUACCGCAUAAAACAGGGGCACCGCAUGGUGAUAUUUGUUAAAGAAAUUCGCUGAUAGAUGGGCAUGCGUUCCAUUAGGUAGUUGGUGAGGUAACGGCUCACCAAGCCGACGAUGGAUAGGGGAACUGAGAGGUUGGUCCCCCACACUGGUACUGAGACACGGACCAGACUCCUACGGGAGGCAGCAGUGAGGAAUAUUGGUCAAUGGGCGGGAGCCUGAACCAGCCAAGUCGCGUGAAGGAAGAAGGAUCUAUGGUUCGUAAACUUCUUUUGCAGGGGAAUAAAGUGCAGGACGUGUCCUGUUUUGUAUGUACCCUGAGAAUAAGGAUCGGCUAACUCCGUGCCAGCCGCGGC
Molecule: ribosomal RNA, 517 nt
Filed under: uncultured bacterium
Lineage: Bacteria
Description: bacterial SSU rRNA
Rfam family: Bacterial small subunit ribosomal RNA
Source: RNAcentral